Molecule: ribosomal RNA, 497 nt
Filed under: uncultured bacterium
Lineage: Bacteria
Description: partial 16S ribosomal RNA
Rfam family: Bacterial small subunit ribosomal RNA
Source: RNAcentral
GAUGAACGCUGGCGGCGUGCCUAAUACAUGCAAGUCGAGCGAACAGACGAGGAGCUUGCUCCUCUGACGUUAGCGGCGGACGGGUGAGUAACACGUGGAUAACCUACCUAUAAGACUGGGAUAACUUCGGGAAACCGGAGCUAAUACCGGAUAAUAUAUUGAACCGCAUGGUUCAAUAGUGAAAGACGGUUUUGCUGUCACUUAUAGAUGGAUCCGCGCCGCAUUAGCUAGUUGGUAAGGUAACGGCUUACCAAGGCAACGAUGCGUAGCCGACCUGAGAGGGUGAUCGGCCACACUGGAGCUGAGACACGGUCCAGACUCCUACGGGAGGCAGCAGUCGGGAAUCUUCCGCAAUGGGCGAAAGCUUGACGGAGCAACGCCGCGUGAGUGAUGAAGGUCUUCGGAUCGUAAAACUCUGUUAUUAGGGAAGAACAAAUGUGUAGGUAACUAUGCACGUCUUGACGGUACCUAAUCAGAAAGCCACGGCUAACUACGUG